RNAcentral lists this ribosomal RNA (875 nucleotides) under uncultured bacterium. Its description in RNAcentral is "bacterial SSU rRNA". It matches the Rfam family "Bacterial small subunit ribosomal RNA", at positions 632 to 1504 of the family's 1533-position model. The record is from RNAcentral.
ACUACUAAGCUAGAGUGCGAGAGAGGAGGAGUAGAAUUUCUGGUGUAGCGGUGAAAUGCGUAGAUAUCAGAAGGAAUACCAAUGGCGAAGGCAGCUCUCUGGCUCGUCACUGACGCUGAGGUGCGAAAGCGUGGGUAGCAAACAGGAUUAGAUACCCUGGUAGUCCACGCCGUAAACGAUGAGAACUAGCCGUUGGGCAGAUUUAACUGUUCAGUGGCACAGCUAACGCAUUAAGUUCUCCGCCUGGGGAGUACGGCCGCAAGGCUAAAACUCAAAUGAAUUGACGGGGGCCCGCACAAGUGGUGGAGCAUGUGGUUUAAUUCGAUGCAACGCGAAGAACCUUACCAACCCUUGAAAUCUAGCGAAGUUCACAGAGAUGAGAAUGUGCCUUCGGGAACGCUAUGACAGGUGUUGCAUGGCUGUCGUCAGCUCGUGUCGUGAGAUGUAUGGUUAAGUCCAGUAACGAGCGCAACCCCUAUCCUUAUUUGCCAGCGCGUUAAGGCGGGAACUAUAGGGAGACUGCCGGGUGAAACCCGGAGGAAGGCGGGGACGAGGUCAAGUCAUCAUGGCCCUUAUGGGUUGGGCUACACACGUGCUACAAUGGGAAGUACAGAGGGAUGCUAAAGCGCGAGCUGGAGCCAAACCCUUAAAACUUUUCUUAGUCCGGAUUGGAGUCUGCAACUCGACUCCAUGAAGUCGGAAUCACUAGUAAUCGCGAAUCAGAAUGUCGCGGUGAAUACGUUCUCGGGCCUUGUACACACCGCCCGUCACAUCAUGGAAGUGGGUUGCACCAGAAGUGGUUAGUCUAACCUUCGGGAAGACGAUCACCACGGUGUGAUUCAUGACUGGGAUGAAGUCGUAACAAGGUAACCGUA